GAGGACUUGCAGCAUGCAACGAUUCCGUCGGAUAUAUCCGCGCUUACCAAAGAAAGGGCGAUACCACAAACCGAUGGAACACAUGGGCUCGAAGAGAUCCACAUAUAUUUAGACCUCCCUUACCUAGAAUUGGCGCGAUGACCUUCGAAGCGUCGGACGCGAACGAUGUUAACUUUUCUCACAACGAUCCUCUGGUCGUCGAAAUAAUGAUCGCGGACUGCGAGGUCUAAAGAGUAUUGGUGGACACCGGAAGCUCAG
RNAcentral lists this long non-coding RNA (258 nucleotides) under Brassica rapa (field mustard). RNAcentral describes it as "long non-coding RNA (BRAP_LNC006459)". Lineage: Eukaryota; Viridiplantae; Streptophyta; Magnoliopsida; Brassicales; Brassicaceae. The record is from RNAcentral.